UUUUUGUUAAGGCAAGAAACACAUUUAUUGAGAGCACAAUGGCUGUGCCAAGCCCCCAGGUGGGGCACUUCCAAACCGCGUCACACGCGCCUCACAACAGCCCUGUGAGGUAGGGGUCUGCGCCCAUUUCACAGAUGCGGACGGCGAGGCGCGGCGCUCCCACGUCUCAGGGUUCAGGAGGGGUUGGGUAGGGGUCAAGCCCGUGGGUCUGACACUCAGAUCAGCGAAGUCCACCAGUCAGAGGGCGGGCGGCCACCCAGGGGUGGCGGGGAGGACACGCCCCUCCUCGCAGGGGGCCGCCCAGGUCCAGAGUCUUUGGGAACGUGUGCAGGUGUCCCCGUGGCUGCAGAGGCUGAGAGAGACACAGGUGCAGAUGAAGGCCGCCCGCGCCCCGGCUCCCUGGCUGACGAGGGUUCUCAGGCGGACGGGCCACCCAGGAGGCGAGGGGAGGAGAGCAAGCCUGCUCUGCUUAGGAGCCUGGACAACACAGGGCGGGGGCGCAGCUGCGCAGGGGCAAGGGGAGCACCCAGCCACCACUCCUGCCCUCUACCUGAUGCCUCAACUCUGGCGUCCCAUGAGUCACCCCCGCUCCCCGGCAGAGAUUUCCUGAAGCAUGACCCCUCCCACACCAGUGAUGGCUAUCGCCUCACUAACCAAAAUUCAGAACUCUACUGCAAUAACACAUAAAAAAAUGAAGGAAAAAAAAAAACACAAAAAAUAUAAUAAUAGAGAAAAGACUACAUUUAUUUCUGAAAUAAAAAAAAAAAAAACCAGAACUCUUGUCCUUUCUAAAAUCCAACCCAACCCAGCUCUCAUAUCCAACCCUGCUAUCAAUUAAAUUUGGGUGUUUUCUAAAACAUCAGCUUCCAGAGUUCCUGUCGUGGCUCAGUGGAAACAAAUCUGACUAGCAUCCAUGAGGACACAGGUUCUACGCACUCCUUUUUCUAUCGUUUUAAUUCCAUUUUCCUCUUUCUAUUUCUCCCUUGCCCUCUCGCUUCCUGACACGCCCUCGUUCUUCCAAACUCAGGGGCACAGAGGGACGAACCAGGGUCCCGUGUUCAACAGCCUCCCGUCCCUGGUCCACACAGCACACCCCUCACUCGCUCACUCACGGACUCACUCCAUCAUUCACUCACUUUGCCCCUCCUUCCUCCCUUAUGCUGGGCACUCGUUUAUGCGGUCAUCUCCUGGGAAGUACUCUCAUGAGUCAAAAGGCCAAUAAUCUGAUUAGUGAUCAUCACACCAUGUAUUUAUUUGCGUCUGCAAAUCCUUCUCCCGCCUUUCAUCACCGGUCACAUGCUGGUAUUUACGCUCUCACUCGCGGGCCUCAAUUGCGUAUAUUUUACGACCCAAAGAUAAUAAGAAAAGGCUGGAGAUCGCAGUCUUGUCGUUGGGCCGGGUAUGUCCGCUCGUUUUCAUCUAUUCUGGGAAAGGGGUCGGGAAUUCACCUCCUUAAGAAGCGCGGGUGUAAACAAAUGACAAUCGCUGCUCAGACCACCUGCUUCACUAACCACGUACCACCCUGGCUGCUGGAUUAGCAUCUUCCCUUUGUCCGUUCUCGCCUCGUUUUUCGUCUCUCCGUUUUCCUGGGCCCUAGAAAAGGGGCCUGGAUGGUUUGCAUCCGUCAUGAAGACUGAGGGCGACCCUGACCCGUUCCUCUCAGAGCCCCUCUGGGACGCGCCCCCCCUCCCCGGGCUGUCUAGUGGUUCCCUCGCCACCAGCCCUGCUCUUCCGCUUAGUUCCACUCUGCCUUCCCCUCC
RNAcentral lists this long non-coding RNA (1760 nucleotides) under Sus scrofa (pig). RNAcentral's name for it is "lncRNA (ENSSSCG00035042512.1)". The record is from RNAcentral. Lineage: Eukaryota; Metazoa; Chordata; Mammalia; Artiodactyla; Suidae.